AGCGAACGCUGGCGGCAGGCUUAACACAUGCAAGUCGAGCGCCCCGCAAGGGGAGUGGCAGACGGGUGAGUAACACGUGGGAACGUACCCUUUGGUUCGGAAUAACUUGGGGAAACUCAAGCUAAUACCGGAUAAGCCCUUAUGGGGAAAGGUUUACUGCCGAAGGAUCGGCCCGCGUCUGAUUAGCUAGUUGGUGAGGUAAUGGCUCACCACGGCGACGAUCAGUAGCUGGUCUGCGAGGAUGAUAAGCCACACUGGGACUGAGACACGGCCCAGACUCCUACGGGAGGCAGCAGUGGGGAAUAUUGGACAAUGGGGGCAACCCUGAUCCAGCCAUGCCGCGUGAGUGAUGAAGGCCUUAGGGUUGUAAAGCUCUUUUACCCGGGACGAUAAUGACUGUACCGGGAGAAUAAGCCCCGGCUAACUUCGUGCCAGCCGCCGCCGUAA
Molecule: ribosomal RNA, 447 nt
Filed under: uncultured bacterium
Lineage: Bacteria
Description: partial 16S ribosomal RNA
Rfam family: Bacterial small subunit ribosomal RNA
Source: RNAcentral